GAAAGCAGAGAGGCAGUUGUUCAGAGGGAUAAGCACUUUUGUGGUUUAUUUUGUGGAUUGAAAAGUAAAUUUGAGAUGUAUAUAUGGAUAGUUUGGUAUAUAUUUUGUGGAUGUAGUAAUUUGAAACUGUAAACGAAUGGUAUUAUUGGGAUGUAUUUUGAAUGGUUGAUACAUUUUGGCUUUAAAUUUAAAUGAGAAUGUAGACCUUUUAGCUAUAUAUCAUGGCAUUAGCAUAUUGCAGGUGCAUUGGUAAUGUAGGU
RNAcentral lists this long non-coding RNA (260 nucleotides) under Panax ginseng (ginseng). RNAcentral's name for it is "long non-coding RNA (PGIN_LNC007826)". Lineage: Eukaryota; Viridiplantae; Streptophyta; Magnoliopsida; Apiales; Araliaceae. The record is from RNAcentral.